Pelobates cultripes (western spadefoot toad) is the source of this 441-nucleotide non-coding RNA. The record is from the annotation of a GenBank genome assembly. Lineage: Eukaryota; Metazoa; Chordata; Amphibia; Anura; Pelobatidae.
UAUAGCAUUAGCAAACAUUUUAAAUACUACUUAUAAAAAUAAUUGCAUGCAUGUUUUCAUGGGGUAGACCUGUUUUUGCAUUUGGGCAAUUUAGUAAAUUAAAAAAUAAAAUCACCUUGAGCUUAAGUUAGACUUACUAGUAGUGAUGUUCCGAAUGGUUUGCCGCGGACUCAUCAUUGAUGAAACUUUGACCCUCUACCUCACAGUCAGCAGACACAUUCCAACCAAUCAGAAGAAGACCCUCCCUCCCCCUGGACAGUUCACUAAGAAUGCAGCUUCACAAUGAAUGUAAAAUGGAUGCUGGCCAGGUGGUGGGAGGGUCUGCUGCCAAUUGAGGUACAGGGUCAAAGUUUACUCAAUGAUGAGUCCGCGGCGAACCGUUCAGGACAUCACUACUUACUAGGUAUUUAUUAUAUAUUAAACAAGUUGUGGUGAACUGAG